GACGAACGCUGGCGGCGUGCCUAAUACAUGCAAGUUGAGCGAUGAAGCUUGGUGCUUGCACCUAUUUGCAGAGCAGCGAACGGGUGAGUAACGCGUGGGGAAUCUGCCUUUGAGCGGGGGACAACAUUUGGAAACGAAUGCUAAUACCGCAUAAUAACUUUAAACAUAAGUUUUAAGUUUGAAAGAUGCAAUUGCAUCACUCAAAGAUGAUCCCGCGUUUUAUUAGCUAGUUGGUGAGGUAAAGGCUCACCAAGGCGAUGAUACAUAGCCGACCUGAGAGGGUGAGCGGCCACAUUGGGACGGAGACACGGCCCAAACGCCUAAGGGAGGCAGCAGUAGGGAAUCUUCGGCAAUGGACGAAAGUCUGACCGAGCAACGCCGCGGGAGUGAAGAAGGGUUUCGGAUCGUAAAACUCGGUUGGUAGAGAAGAACGUUGGUGAGAGUGGAAAGCUCAUCAAGUGACGGUAACUACCCAGAAAGGGACGGCUAACUACGUG
This 497-nucleotide ribosomal RNA is filed under the name uncultured bacterium. RNAcentral's name for it is "partial 16S ribosomal RNA". It matches the Rfam family "Bacterial small subunit ribosomal RNA", at positions 28 to 507 of the family's 1533-position model. The record is from RNAcentral.